AUGGACAAGUUACCACGGUUGAGCCACAAUAUAGCCUAUUUCUUACUUUAUACCCUUGUACUGAAUAUGACAGAGGAGUUGCAUUGUUUUUUUGAAAUGUCUACAGGUAUAGGCUUCACACUGCACCUGAGUGAUGAUGGCUAUUACUUGAUGUGUGACAUUCUGUUUUGAAAUAUUUUCUUUUUUUUAAUCUUGUUCAAAUACAUGUAUAUUUCAUGUAGGUACAUUUUAAUAAAUUCAAUAAUUGAGAAACCAAAGUGACAGAGUUGGUCUUGGUGUCAUGAUGUCAGACAAUACAAUGAUUCUCGUUUGAUAAGGAAUGACUAUGGUAUUGAGUUAUACUCUGCUCACAUUCUAGAGGAGCAGUGCUUGGAGAAAAGGUGGUGGAGGACCCACCUGGAUUUUUACAACUCAUGCAAACAAAAGCCAUGAAGAUGAGUUCUUUGGAGAUGCCUCUCAGAUUUCCCUGGGAAAGUCCACUCCUCCCUCUGGUCUUCCCAUUUCUGAAUCUGGGGGCAAACACGUAAAAUAAACAUUUACUUGACAGACCAUAGUAGUGCCUGAAAAAAAAAAAGCAAAAUGUUGAAGUAGUUAUCACAGACCAAUUAUCUUGCAGGAUUUGAAUUUGGAUUAUGUACAAUUUCUAACACUUUGUCAAAUACUAAUAACUCCUUUCGUAAUGGGUCAAACUAGGUCAAUAAUCUCUAAGAGAAAUCCGAUGUUUGAAUAUUAACUCUGCUGACUAAAGAGUUUGCCUUUACAUGGCCACGGUGGUCUAUUUGCUUGACUAAAUAAGGCCAAAGUCAUGUUUAGCUGAGAAUACGGCAAAUAUUUCUCCACUAAUGCUUGUACCAGCAAUAGUUGAAAUUUGGUUGAGAAAAAACCCCCCUCUAAAUUAUGUCUUUAACACUUUGAACCCAGUGACCCCUUUAAGAAAAAAAUGAAAAACACUUGAAAUUCAGUUGUAUACAUGUGAGCAAAUCACAUUAUGUAACAUAAUAUCCUGUAGUUUUGCUUUUUGAAUGCUGAAAAAUGUGUAACAGUAUGGUUGAACAGUGGACACAUUACCUUAUACUGUACAGAACCAGUGAACCAGUAAACAAACCCACGGUAUAUCAAUACUUCAGAAAUCCUUUCCAGUUAGCUUCAGGAUGUUUAGGAAAUGUGGCACAGUGAUUUGUAGAUCCUCUUAUACCAGUCACAUGGGUCAGUGUCGACUCCUUGGAUUUUUGCCGCCAAUGAUAAUCCAUAAAUAUAGCAACAACAAUGGAGAUGUUAGGGGAAAAAAGUGUAAAUCUAUGAUUUUUUUUUUAAUGUAAUACAUCUUUAAUAUGCAAUUAAAUAAAAGUGAGAAUAAAACAUGUAUUGCUUUUUCAAUGUCCACACCAUAAUUGAACAAAACAGGUGUUUUUCAGUAUAGAUCAAGAAACAGCCUACACUUGUGCUUACUUUCACUGUCUAUCUCCUUUCUCUGCUCUGCCUCUUUGCCUUUUUGACCGAAGCACAUGGAAGUUACAAACAAUCAAUGCAAUGGUAACAGACAUAAAUUAAACGGGGCCUGCUAGGGCACCGUAAUGUUAACUGCUAGAUUACCGGUAUUACCAUGACUUUGAUAGUCUCGAAAGUGGGGGGUUUUUAUUUUUUGGGAAAUUAUCUGUGGCUAAAUCUACCCAGUUUGCUUUCUUGGCUGUCAUAUGAUUCUAAAAUAUAUAUAAUCUGGUAUAUAAUAAUUCUGGUUAUCUGUUUGAAAUGAUAGGCCAAACCCCAAUGUAAAGUCUCGUACUGAAUUAGAUUGUCAUGCUGAUUUCAUAUACAGUGCAUUCGCAAAGUAUUCAGACCCUUUGACUUUUCCCACAUCGUUAAAUCAAUCUCCACACCAUACCCCAUAAUGACAAAGCAAAAACAGGUUAAGACAUUUUUGCAAAUGUAUUCAUUUUUAAACAGUUUGCUAUGAGACUCUAAAUUGAGCUCAGGUGCAUCCUGUGUCCCCAAGAACACAGUGGCCUCCAUCAUUCUUAAAUGGAAGACGUUUGGAACCACCAAGACUCUUCCUAGAGUUGGCCGCCCAGCCAAACUGAGCAAUCGGGGAAGAAGCGCCAUUGUUAUGAACCGUUCUCCUCUCAGCAGCCUCCACUGCUAGCUAAGUUAUAAAAUAUGACCUUACAGUGUUAGGCAAGAAUAUCAAGCUCAUAUUAUUGUAGAGGACAAUCCAGAUAAUGAUUAAUUAUGUAAUUUAUGACAUACUGUAGGGCAGCGAAAUCUACGUUUUGACAUUAAUUUUGUAACACCCUCUUGAAUUGCCACAUUUUUCUCUACAUUGUGUCACGAACCGGCUCAAAGCCCGUAACAAAAGGGAGACAACGUGGAGAUAAGGAGUAACAAACAUAUAUUUAUUAAAUAUAGUAAACUAAGUACAAUAUACAAUGGUGUGUGUAAUCAGUAAUCAGUAGUGUAAGUGAGUGUUUUGCAUGCAUGAAUGUGAUAAUGCAGGGUGUUGAAAGGUGCCAAAGCAAACAACCAAAAGGCCACCAAGAUACACAACA
Long non-coding RNA from Oncorhynchus mykiss (rainbow trout), 2543 nucleotides. NCBI's taxonomy places the organism in Eukaryota, Metazoa, Chordata, Actinopteri, Salmoniformes, Salmonidae. The record is from Ensembl.